AAGGGGGAGGUAGUUCAGGUGUUCAAGGAGAGGGUAUUUAAGGAGGGCCCUUGGGAGGAAGGAGGGGAUGCGGACAAUGUGUGGAUGAAGAUGGCGACUUGCAUUCGUAAGGUGGCCUCGGAGGAGUUUGGAGUGUCCAGGGGAAGGAGAAGCGAAGAUAAGGAUACCUGGUGGUGGAAUGAUGAUGUCCAGAAGGCGCUUAAAGAGAAGAAAGAUUGCUUCAGACGCCUAUACCUGGAUAGGAGUGUAGACAACAUAGAGAAGUACAAGAUGGCGAAGAAGGCCGCAAAGCGAGCUGUUGGUGAAGUAAGGGGUCGGGCAUAUGAGGACCUCUACCAACGGUUAGGCACGAAGGAAGGUGAAAGGGACAUCUAUAAGAUGGCUAAGAUCCGAGAGAGGAAUACGAGGGAUAUUGGCCAAGUCAAAUGCAUCAAGGACGGAGCAGGCCAACUCUUGGUGAAGGACGAAGAGAUUAAGCAUAGAUGGCGGGAGUACUUCGACAAGCUGUUCAAUGGGGAGAAUGAGAGUUCUACCAUUGAACUGAAUGACUCCUUUGAUGAGACCAGCAUGCGUUUUGUGCGGCGCAUCCAGGAGUCUGAGGUGAAGGAGGCUUUAAAAAGGAUGAAAGGAGGCAAGGCGAUGGGCCCUGAUUGUAUCCCCAUUGAGGUGUGGAAAGGUCUCGGGGACAUAGCGAUAGUAUGGCUAACCAAGCUUUUCAACCUCAUUUUUCGGGCAAACAAGAUGCCAGAAGAAUGGAGACGGAGUAUAUUAGUACCAAUCUUCAAGAACAAGGGGGAUGUUCAGAGUUGUACUAAUUACCGUGGAAUUAAGCUGAUGAGCCAUACAAUGAAGCUAUGGGAGAGAGUCAUUGAGCACCGCUUAAGAAGAAUGACAAGCGUGACCAAAAAUCAGUUUGUUUUCAUGCCUGGGAGGUCGACCAUGGAAGCCAUUUUCUUGGUACGACAACUUAUGGAGAGAUAUAGGGAGCAUAAGAAGGACUUGCAUAUGGUGUUCAUUGACUUGGAGAAGGCCUAUGAUAAGAUACCGCGGAAUGUCAUGUGGUGGGCCUUGGAGAAACACAAAGUACCAGCAAAGUGCAUUACCCUC
RNAcentral lists this ribosomal RNA (1107 nucleotides) under Triticum aestivum (bread wheat). RNAcentral's name for it is "partial small subunit ribosomal RNA". The record is from RNAcentral. Lineage: Eukaryota; Viridiplantae; Streptophyta; Magnoliopsida; Poales; Poaceae.